Molecule: long non-coding RNA, 2944 nt
Organism: Arvicola amphibius (Eurasian water vole)
Lineage: Eukaryota; Metazoa; Chordata; Mammalia; Rodentia; Cricetidae
Exons: 2
Source: RefSeq, a predicted model, not a curated record
CCAGCAGGACACCGGGUCUGGGCGAGCGGCGCUCCGGGCCGCCCGGUCCUCGCUGCUCUCCCAGGAGUCACCCGGAGGGCGCGAACAACCCGCGCCUUGGCAGGGCCACCGCAGAGGAAACCCCGAGAAGGGAUCGGGUGUCCCGCAUCGUGGCAGGGAGACCGUGCGUGGACCCCGAGGGGACAACCGUGGAGACGUUUCGUAGAAAGGGCCGAUUGGCAGGUGCCAGGGCGUUGCGCUUCGCUCUGACCUCCCGAUUGCCAGCCAGUCCCCAGGCAAAGCUCAGCGGGAGCUGGAGAGGAAAAAAGGAGCCUCCCACCCCAGCUACAUUUUGGAAGGCCGGUAGCUAAGUAAAUACAAGUCCCGUCACAGAGGCAGCCUUCCUGGCCUCCACGUCCGGCCUCCCAGGACCCAGAAUGUCUUCCUUCCCCGGACUGUAGAGAAGGACUUCUCUCAAAGCAGUGAAAUCAAAGCGCAGGAAGGGGACUCAGAGAUCAGAGAGCAACCCUCCACAGCCCAGUCAUGGACCACAGGCCUCCCAGCCCAGACUUGUGUCCUGCAGGCGUAGCCAGGAGACAGCUCCCUUCAGUGUCCUCUCCCUCUGGGCUCUCAGCCCGCCACACCUGCCUCCUUUGCUCCUCUACAGGUCCCAGCAUCAGACAGGAGGUUACCAGGAAUACCGGUUGUCCCGGUUGGGACCCUGGGUCUGACCCAGUCUGAUUAAAGCCACCCGGUAGCCUCCAGAAGGAAUGGGUAAAUGUAACUACAGAAAAAAAUGCAACGGGUGUAAGCCUCUAGCGACCUCAGCUUCAUCCCCAGGUCACGCCAGGCUGCUACUUACCUUACCGUUUGUCAAUCUUGUCAACUCUUCCAGAGUAAUCCUCAACAUUGAAACCCCAGCCAGCUUGCAGCCUUGGAGCGCGGGCCUAAUGACACCUGCUAAUGAGGAGAGCCACUCAGGAGCACGGGCCUUGUAUCUGGACUCUCUAUCAGAAGCCCCAAAGGUCUUUGCGGGCGGGGUGCUUCUGGAUUCGUUGGGAUGAGGGCUGCAGAGCAGAGAUAGGGGACUCACCGUUUACUGCUCUCAACAGCUCCUCGGCCUUUGCAAAAAAACGCUCUCUUCUCCUUUCACACAAAACUUUUCAGUUCUCUCUCCCCACUCCGAGGUGUGGUUAUGUCUGCUGAACCUGUACAAUGGGGUGGCGUAUCCCAAAUGUCUUUUGAAGGAAACCUAAGUUCGUGAAGAUUAUUUACUGCAGACUCGGAGAAACAGCUGAAUUGCUGUGUGCCUCGAAGUGUGACAUGGAACUUCUGUUCCCUUUGUGACCAAGGAGUCCCCAGAAACCAAAACCAGGAGAGUGGAGCAGACCAGACGGGAGCCGACCACGAAGCAGGAAGGAAAGAAAAUAAGCAGCAUCCGUAGACAGCGUGAUAUCUGAAUGUUGGCCAGAGUUCCUAAAUCCUGGCCAAGUCGGUGAGAAUGAGGACUCAGAGUGUGCUGUUGGAGCUCACAACAUGGAAGGAGUUAAACAGAAACUGUAAUUUAAAAACUCCCAAAACAUUUGUGAGGCGCAAAGUGACUGAGUUUCCUGGCCUUGACUUUCCCGAUAACAAAGCUACAGUCCCGAGACCUCACAGACUCUUCCUCCUUCCAAAGAAACAUUUGACUGCUCCGAAGUAAAACUUCAUGCAAAACGAAUUUUUUUUCUCUCAGAACAGAAUAUAUAACUUUCUUAUCAACUUAAUCAUAACUCAAGGAGCCAUGCAUGUUUUAAACCAGUUUUCAAAAGCAAAAAAAAAAAAAAAAAAAAAAACCAACCAGGUACCCAAGAGGCAUUUCUCAACUCAUUUUCAACAUUUUGUUUAUGAGAGAGAAUCUGAGUUACUCAUACCAGCUUUGAACUCACAAUGCCCCUGCCUCAGCCUCUCUGGUGAUGGAAUGACAGGCAUGUGUUGCCACUGAGCUAGUCAUAGCUUGUCCGUUCCAAAGGCAACCUUUUAAGUAUUCCAUCCAGAAUAAAAUGUACUCUUAUUGGAAGUUGUUAACAAAUAUGUAUGGUUGGGAAGUAAAAGGGGUUUUUAUUCUUUUAUUUCCAAGUUGAGUUUGAACUUACCUCCAGGGCCCUCGGUCGCCUCUGCUGUUUCUGAUGCCAUCCAGAAGGAAGACAGCACAGGGAAUGGUCACCACACUCCACUGCCCUGAAGACAAAUGAGAAGGAGAAAACACCGUGGGGUUAUCACCAGCUAUUAGAGGAAAGCCUCAGAUCUGAGGCCACAGCUCCCGCUGGAUGCAGAGCUUUCCCUAUAAAGCCGAGUUCCUGCCCAAGUGCCUGCGUCAUUAUUGGUAUUUCUGUCAUUUUAAAACAGAGUGGACUCUUGGUAAGUUCAGGUUCAGGCUUCUCCUUCAUGUCAUAGGCCAUUAACUGAUAAUGAGUGUGUGCUCACACGUCUCCAUUGUGGUUGAGUGUCCCGAAGAGAUAUGAUCUUGACAAGAUUUCCAUGAAUGCCUUCUGACCUCUCCUGCAGACUAUUCCAAAUUAUAUAUAUACAUGGCAAAUCUAUAAAUAUAAAAAAUACAUAGUUGACCUCGGGGCUGUGGGUGUCUUUUUGAGAUGAUAAAAGUCUUGACAGUGGUGUGACACCAAGAAAAGUUGGCCAAGUUAUCAACAGUGGCAAAGUUGUGCAUUUUAAAAUGAUAUACACGGUGAAUUUUAUAUUAUGUGAAUUUCACCUUAUGUUUCCUAAAAGGAAAAGCUGCCAUAUUCCCAUAUUAGUGUGGAUUGGGAUUAAUGCAGGCCAAAUAUUCAGGAAGAAGAGACUAGAAAUCAAAUCUUGCCUAUCACAGUGGAAACUAAAAUGGAUAACUAUGCUAAUUGUUUAAUUGUCUCCAUAUAUAGCCAGAAAACAAAUAUGAAUUUCACUGAAUAAACAUUUUGGUCUCUCA